CUGGUGAAGGGGAGAAAAAACAAGCCUGGUUUAAGGAUAAUGCUGCAAAGUAUAUUAACAUCAGCUAGAAGCAGACUCUGAAGUUACAGCCCCCAUCUCACCCACCUGCAAGUGGCCUCAAAGAGACAGUGGAAAAGAUUUUACCUGUCUACUUUACCUUGAAGGAGAUAUGACCUGAUUAGAAGGAAACAUGAUGUCUAGAGCUCAAGAAGCUAUCUUGGAUCAAGGGAUGAGGAUCACACCUAAAGAAGAAGAGGCAGUGAUAGCCCUGAAUGGUACAGCUGAAGACUUCUCUAGUGCUUCUGCCAGCUCCAUCAUCUAUGGAGUUACUGUCAUGGUAUCCCACACACCAUUACUGAUGACCAAGGAAUUAACUUCACAAUGAAAAAAGACGAAGGAGAGCCUAGAAGUUCGGUGAAUGGCCAGUGCCACCAAAUGAAGCCAAGCCAAGGAGCAAGGCAUCACGACUCUAUCAUCCCUCAGUAGCAUAUGUCUUAUUGUGUUAUCAUACAUUGUUAUUAAGAACUUUGGAGAUUUUUGUUCUGAGCCUGAAGUGUGUGGAGGUGUUAGUCAGUGAUUGUUUAGUAUUUGACCUAAUUUUCUAAAUUUUCUAUAUUCAGCCUUUUAUCAAGUAAGUCAUUUUUUUAAAUCUACACAUCUUAUUUUUCAGGAACAAUGGUUUUA
Molecule: long non-coding RNA, 684 nt
Organism: Eubalaena glacialis (North Atlantic right whale)
Lineage: Eukaryota; Metazoa; Chordata; Mammalia; Artiodactyla; Balaenidae
Exons: 4
Source: RefSeq, a predicted model, not a curated record